Molecule: long non-coding RNA, 691 nt
Organism: Poecile atricapillus (Black-capped chickadee)
Lineage: Eukaryota; Metazoa; Chordata; Aves; Passeriformes; Paridae
Exons: 3
Source: RefSeq, a predicted model, not a curated record
CCGGGGGGAGGCUCUGCCGAGGAGCUCUGGGGCUUCCUGUUUCCUCCCGAGCAGAAUUUGAAAGCAGCGGCUGCCGUGAGCUGGACCAAUGAUCGGGGCACAGCGCGCCCGGGCCGCCCGCGCCCGUUACGGGAGCCCGGGCUGCGCUUCCCGGGAACACCGGGAGCACCGGGAACACCGGGAGCACCGGGAACAACGGGAACACCCGGUCAGGAAUGCCAGGGAAUUUGGGAAAAGCAGGAUCACAGCAGCUUGACCCCCAUUUUAUGGGAAAGCCAGCCCUGGGAGCAGUGAGGAAGAGCUGCAGGAGCUGUUUGGGAGCUGAAGAGGAUGGAUAAGGAUCCAGCAGCCAGGAUUCCAUCACCAGCACUGCUCCUGGCUCCUGUUCCCACUGCCGAGCCCGAGUGGAUGGAGCAAAAUGCACAAGCAGGGACACGCAGCUGUCGAGACACCGGUGAGCUCCUCUUGCUUCACCCCCUGGGCUGGGCUGCCUUGGGCUUGGGAUUGGGCUUUUCUGCAGCAUUACUGCAUCGAUUUGGGUUGCAACACCCCAAGGUUAUUUGUCAUUGAUUUGAGGCUGCUGCCACCACUGAUUUGCCUGGUCCAGGCCAGCCCCCGCCCGCGCAGCCUUUUCUCCAUCUGAGUGAACGAAAUGCUCACCGCAGAGAGAGUUUCCAGAAAUGAUUCAGCC